RNAcentral lists this ribosomal RNA (793 nucleotides) under Bacillus licheniformis. RNAcentral describes it as "bacterial SSU rRNA". It matches the Rfam family "Bacterial small subunit ribosomal RNA", at positions 56 to 830 of the family's 1533-position model. The record is from RNAcentral. Lineage: Bacteria; Bacillati; Bacillota; Bacilli; Caryophanales; Bacillaceae.
UGCAGUCGAGCGGACAGAUGGGAGCUUGCUCCCUGAUGUCAGCGGCGGACGGGUGAGUAACACGUGGGUAACCUGCCUGUAAGACUGGGAUAACUCCGGGAAACCGGGGCUAAUACCGGAUGCUUGAUUGAACCGCAUGGUUCAAUUAUAAAAGGUGGCUUUUAGCUACCACUUACAGAUGGACCCGCGGCGCAUUACCUAGUUGGUGAGGUAACGGCUCACCAAGGCAACGAUGCGUACCCAACCUGAAAGGGUGAUCGGCCACACUGGGACUGAAACACGGCCCAAACUCCUACGGGAGGCAGCAGUAGGGAAUCUUCCGCAAUGGACAAAAGUCUGACGGACCAACGCCGCGUGAGUGAUGAAGGUUUUCGGAUCGUAAAACUCUGUUGUUAGGGAAAAACAAGUACCGUUCGAAUAGGGCGGUACCUUGACGGUACCUAACCAAAAAGCCACGGCUAACUACGUGCCACCAGCCGCGGUAAUACGUAGGUGGCAAGCGUUGUCCGGAAUUAUUGGGCGUAAAGCGCGCGCAGGCGGUUUCUUAAGUCUGAUGUGAAAGCCCCCGGCUCAACCGGGGAGGGUCAUUGGAAACUGGGGAACUUGAGUGCAGAAAAGGAGAGUGAAAUUCCACGUGUAGCGGUGAAAUGCGUAGAGAUGUGAAGGAACACCAGUGGCGAAGGCGACUCUCUGGUCUGUAACUGACGCUGAGGCGCGAAAGCGUGGGGAGCGAAACAGGAUUAGAUACCCUGGUAGUCCACGCCGUAAACGAUGAGUGCUAAGUGUUAGAGGG